Nomia melanderi (Alkali bee) is the source of this 537-nucleotide long non-coding RNA. RefSeq lists it as uncharacterized. NCBI's taxonomy places the organism in Eukaryota, Metazoa, Arthropoda, Insecta, Hymenoptera, Halictidae. The record is from RefSeq and is a predicted model, not a curated record.
GGUAAGUUUGGCUACAAGUAUUCCCGAUCUAGUUAAACUAUCGCAACCUUUUUAAACUUGCUGAGUUUCGUCGUGAACGAGGUGAAAGAAGAGCCUCGCCAUGGAACUGGAAACACUUAUGUAUGCGCAAAAGGCGCGGAUACGAGGUCACCGGCAAAUUUAGCCACUUUUGCGAGUUUUCCAUGUGACGUGAGGAGAUUUGAAUCGUGAACAGGAGUGGAAUUCACAAUUUUCAUGGAACGAUACAGUGCAAAUAUCGAUUGAACAGAGUGAGUAUUCCAGUGGACCAAUAUACCGAUGAGGUUGACCCAACAGACCACCAUCUUCUACCCACAAUAAUCGACCAUAAGCUAUAUUAAAAUCUGAUAAUAUCAGGGUUUCGUGACCUCCUCACGAAUGAAGGCAUAAGAUACGCCCGACAAUGGCCGCCGUCGACUUCGAGGAAAGUUCGGCGAUGCCGAAGGAGGACGAAGGAAAAACAGAAAGAGGAAGAAGAAGGGAAACUUAGGAAACAAGGGGACAGAGGGUAAAAAGAGG